GUUGAACAUUUUUGCUGCUUAUUACCUUGGACUGGAAAUCCGCCAACAUACAAUCAUGCACUUUCUUCAUAAAACACAUUUUUAAGCUAGCCAAGGACCAAUACCAAGAUAUGUUAUCUCUAUAUUCUUCUCCGCCUAAUUAACACGUCAUGUUGUAAAGACGAAGAUAAACUUACAGAAAUGAGGCAUGAGUAAAUUUGUUCUGCUCCAAGAAGACAUACAUUUUCCUUUUCACAGCAAAUUUCAAAUUUGCACUCUUAAAAAAAAAACUCUUUCCUGUCUAACUCCAAAUGAUUCUUGACUUAGAAGUGUUCUGCAAUAUUUCAAUCUUUCACAUAUCUACCAAAAAGUGUUUAUUGAGUCACCUGUGAAUUAUCAACGUUGAUUCCAAAGCCAGAACCUUUUAUCCAUUUUGACGUAUUCUGCAGAUUUUUGAGCCGGGGUCUAUCGGAAACAUGUAACAACAGCAAGAGAUGAAUUGGGUGACACAGUAGUUGUAUUUCUGCAACCAGUGAUUGGAGGAAAACCAGCCAAUAUAUGCAGUACCAAGGAAUCCAAAUGGCAUUGACAUGCCAAAAAGUUCAACGUAACUCCAAUUAUUUAUCAAAGAACACAGUAAUACAAAAACAGGAUUCUGACUAGGAUUUAGUGAAUUGGAGGAGGAAUAGAUGUAUUGAUCAAAGAGCACAUUGGUCAUUUUCCCUACGGCAUGCAUAUUUCUCAAACGAUAGUCAUGAGGCUGGCUGUGUCCUAGGUCAAAAUAUCCAAUAUUUAUUCAGUUUUGUCCUGCUAAACGAUACAUUUCCCCAUUUGGAAAACAAAAGCAAAAUUCAAGCAUGCAUGCACCAACUUCCUCAUUCCUUCAAAAUAUGUUUUGUCUUGCUACUGAACAGCGUAAGAACAAGUUGAUACACACUCAGAAAAAGGCCAGAACAAGAUUUUUAGAGUCUCUCUCUUCUUCAUGAGCUAUAAAAGGGCAGCUGAAUUAGAGUAGAGACCUCUUCAUGAUCAUUGAAAGUUUCUUAAUUAGUGAUUUUAGGGGUUG
RNAcentral lists this long non-coding RNA (1045 nucleotides) under Capsicum annuum. Its description in RNAcentral is "long non-coding RNA (CANN_LNC009078)". Lineage: Eukaryota; Viridiplantae; Streptophyta; Magnoliopsida; Solanales; Solanaceae. The record is from RNAcentral.